AUUGAACGCUGGCGGCAGGCCUAAGACAUGCAAGUCGAGCGAGAAGACCCUUCGGGGUGAGUACAGCGGCGACGGGUGAGUAACGCGUAGGAAUCUACCCAGUAGUCGGGGGACAACUAGUGGAAACGCUAGCUAAUACCGCAUACGCCCUAACGGGGGAAAGCGGGGGGAUCUUCGGACCUCGUGCUAUUGGAUGAGCCUGCGUAAGAUUAGCUUGUUGGUGAGGUAAUGGCUCACCAAGGCGACGAUCUUUAGCUGGUCUGAGAGGAUGAUCAGCCACACCGGGACUGAGACACGGCCCGGACUCCUACGGGAGGCAGCAGUCGGGAAUAUUGCGCAAUGGGGGAAACCUUGACGCAGCCAUGCCGCGUGUGUGAAGAAGGCCUUAGGGUUGUAAAGCACUUUCAAUUGGGAGGAAAAGCUAAUGGUUAAUAACCAUUAGCCCUGACGUUACCUUUAGAAGAAGCACCGGCUAACUCCGUG
RNAcentral lists this ribosomal RNA (483 nucleotides) under uncultured bacterium. RNAcentral describes it as "bacterial SSU rRNA". It matches the Rfam family "Bacterial small subunit ribosomal RNA", at positions 30 to 507 of the family's 1533-position model. The record is from RNAcentral.